AUUGAACGCUGGCGGAAUGCUUUACACAUGCAAGUCGAACGGUAGAGGGGGCAACCCCUCGAGAGUGGCGAACGGGUGAGUAAUAUAUCGGAACGUGCCCAGUCGUGGGGGAUAACGUAGCGAAAGUUACGCUAAUACCGCAUACGAUCUAAGGAUGAAAGCGGGGGAUCGCAAGACCUCGCGCGAUUGGAGCGGCCGAUAUCAGAUUAGGUAGUUGGUGGGGUAAAGGCUCACCAAGCCAACGAUCUGUAGCUGGUCUGAGAGGACGACCAGUCACACUGGAACUGAGACACGGUCCAGACUCCUACGGGAGGCAGCAGUGGGGAAUUUUGGACAAUGGACGCAAGUCUGAUCCAGUCAUUCCGCGUGCAGGAUGAAGGCCCUCGGGUUGUAAACUGCUUUUGCACGGAACGAAAAGGUCUCUCUUAAUACGGGGGACUCAUGACGGUACCGUAAGAAUAAGCACCGGCUAACUACGUGCCAGCCGCCGCAGUAA
RNAcentral lists this ribosomal RNA (496 nucleotides) under uncultured bacterium. Its description in RNAcentral is "partial 16S ribosomal RNA". It matches the Rfam family "Bacterial small subunit ribosomal RNA", at positions 30 to 523 of the family's 1533-position model. The record is from RNAcentral.